GUUGAACGCUGGCGGCGUGCCUAAUACAUGCAAGUCGAACGAACAGACGAGGAUCUUGCUCCUCUCGCGUUAGCGGCGGACGGGUAAGUAACACGUGGAUGACCUGCCUUUAAGACUGGGAUAACUUCGGGAAACCGGAUCUAAUACCCGAUAAUAUAUUGAACCGCAUGGUUCAAUAGUGAACGACGGUUUUGCUGUGCCGUAUAGAUGGAUCCACGCCGCAUUAGCUAGUUGGUAAGGUAACGGCUUACCAAGGCAACGAUGCGUAGCCGACCUGAGAGGGUGACCAGCCACACUGGGACUGAGACACGGUCCAGACUCCUACGGGAGGCAGCAGUAGGGAAUCUUGCGCAAUGGGCGAAAGCUUGACGGAGCCACGCCGCGUGAGUGAUGAAGGUCUUCGGAUCGUAAAACGCUUUUAUUAGGGAAGAACAACUGUGUAAGAAACUAUGCACGUCUUGACGGUACCUAAUCAGAAAGCCACGGCUAACUACGUG
This 497-nucleotide ribosomal RNA is filed under the name uncultured bacterium. RNAcentral describes it as "partial 16S ribosomal RNA". It matches the Rfam family "Bacterial small subunit ribosomal RNA", at positions 28 to 507 of the family's 1533-position model. The record is from RNAcentral.